AUCUCCAAGUCGGAACUGGUGCUGUUUGAUCUGCUCAUUGUGAUGCAGUGGAGGGCAGCGAGUCCAGGGAACGAGCCUCCUUGGAAUUAAACCGCCUCUCUAAUAUGAUUACAAAUGGCUGUUAACCCUCAUAUCAACAUGCUGUCUAGGGGAGGGGGGAGAGAAUGAGAUGUGAAAGUCCCACCCCUCACUGAUAAAUGAAAAUGAGGAGUGCUCUUUACUAGAAAUAAUUAGGCUUCCCUAGCUCCUGAAAAGUGCUUUGAAGAAGAGAAACGUGCUAGAAAUGCUGCAGGUGCCAGCACCACUGCUCCCAGUGCUGUUCUUGCUCAGCAGAAACGUCAGGCAGGCUGUACAGAAAAGAAGAGAGCUGUACCAGAGCAAGCUUGGCUUGGUUCCCACUGUCAGUUUGGUUCCCUCCACCAACAAUCAACCAGGACAGAAGCAUCUGCUUCAUUUGGAAAGGCUCUUAAGCUUCAUCUGUGCACCCCAACACAACAGCCAUGAGCCUUUACCCCCCAAACUGUGA
Molecule: long non-coding RNA, 526 nt
Organism: Pseudopipra pipra
Lineage: Eukaryota; Metazoa; Chordata; Aves; Passeriformes; Pipridae
Exons: 2
Source: RefSeq, a predicted model, not a curated record